UGUUUCAAAUCUUUUUAAGUACCAAACACAAUAAUAUUGUUGAAAUACAUUUGCCAUGUUUAUGAAAUUCUUAAUGUAAUAUUAUUUGUAAUGGUAAUAUUAGUAAUAGUUUGAUAUAUUAAUAAUUCAGUUGAUCUAAGCAUGCAUUCUUUCAUGAUGAUGAUUAUGGUCAAAAUAUGCCAAAUGUGUCUGUAAAUAUCAUGCAUAAUAUAAUCACUUAGCAAAUAAAUUGCUGAAAGAGAAGGAAAAACGUAGAGUUGGUUCUAAAGCUGUGGCAAUGUUGCUUUUAGUCAUAUGUUCUCAUUUACUCCAUUCCAGAAUGUUUAUGUGCUAUUGCAUAGUCCCUGGCGUGCCAUCUGUUCCUGCAGUCAAGACCAGUAAACUCAGGUAUGAGCCUUGCAAGAAGACAUACAUAUUUUGCUGAUUGCCAAGGGGAUAAUGCAUUGGGUAUAAGAAGAAGGAAAGUAGAGGAACCAAUUAAGAAAUAUUUACUACAAUUAAGAAGAGAUGAUAAUAACUUCGACCAAGGUGGAGGCUAUGAAGAUGGAGCAAUGCGAAUACAUGGAGACAUGUUUUUGAUGUAGACUCAGCAAGAAAUUCUAAUAUAUUAGAUUUUAUGUUUUGGGAGAAAAAGAGACAUCUCCAAGAUUAUGGCUUGAAUAGAUUGGGACUAAUAGUGAAACUUGAGAGUGAUCACAUAUGGAGAUGAAAGAUUGAAAGACCUCUCGCUGAACAUAAUAUAGAAGGUCUAAAAUACUCUCAAGUCCCCUCCAUCUCAAAAUGACAGCAGUAACAGUGAAAACUAAACAUAGCUGUACCAAGGGCCUGUGUAUCUUACUUCGCCCUCCUUGUGAGUUGCCACUUCCUGUUCAUCCUCCUAUCAACGUGAUAUAAACACCAAAAUAGACCAAAGUAAUUAUCUGGGGAAUGUCCAGAGGGUGUUUACCUUCAGAAAAUUAACAGCUUUGAGACUAAAUCGAUGACCCAGCAAGAAGGUUCUCAUCAGUGGCUGACCAGAUGCCAGAAACAUGCCAUUGGAGUGCCCAGCCUUCAGAACAGAAACAUGGCUGUAUAAGUAGAAAACUUUGAAGAAUUUGCUGUAAGUAACAAAUAUGUUUAGAAAGGUUACAGACUACAAUAUCUAAUUUAGAAGUCCUUUGUAUUUCUACAUAUUAGUAAUAAAUAAUUGGAAUUUAAAAUUUAUAAAAAGUACUAUUAUAAUAGUACUAUCUAAAAUGAA
This 1240-nucleotide long non-coding RNA is filed under the name Homo sapiens (human). RNAcentral describes it as "HSALNT0108771". Lineage: Eukaryota; Metazoa; Chordata; Mammalia; Primates; Hominidae. The record is from RNAcentral.